This 3045-nucleotide long non-coding RNA is filed under the name Vitis vinifera (wine grape). Its description in RNAcentral is "long non-coding RNA (VVIN_LNC002864)". Lineage: Eukaryota; Viridiplantae; Streptophyta; Magnoliopsida; Vitales; Vitaceae. The record is from RNAcentral.
UGUUUCAACCUAAGCCCACAACACCGGAUCUUUUGCUGAUUUUCUCCGAUCUUGUUAAGACAGCCUUUUCUGAUACAUCUCUUGUGUAUUUCUUGACUACCCUCUUGCAGAAAUGCCUUCACAACCUUCAUCUUCCCAUCUUCACUAAGGUUGUUGACUUCCUCCAUUGCAUAACUCAUUCCAUCUCAAAGAGGUGAAAGAAAUGAGAUCCACUCAAAGACGAGGCACAAAUAGAGAAGGGAAAGAGUGAUGGAUUGCAGGAAAAGAGGGGUUGUGGCUUCUGAUACAAAUAAACAGUGAGAAAAAGGUCUUGGAGAUUGGGAAAGUUAGAUGUGAAACCUGUGAACCCUGCAGCACUGCCUACCGCAUUUAUUUAAUAAUGGAACGCGUUGAAGAUAUUUCCAGGUUGAGCCGGCCCAGUCCAAUCCUAAUUCAUAAAAUAUUGCUUAGUGUAAAUUAAAAAAUCUCGUUGAAUUCCAAUGCUUUACGGAACGUUGAUAUAGAUCAUUAAUCGGUUUAAUGAUUUAUUCGGUCUAACGUUGAUAUCUAUAUUAUUAAAAUUUAAAAUAAUUAUAAAAAUUAAAUUAUAUAUAAAUAUAUAUAUAAUUUUAUCAUUAAUUUAUUUAUAUUUGAUUAAUAUACUUAACAUUUAAUAUGGUUAUUAUGAACAAUUGAAAUAAUAAAAUAAUAAUUUGGCUUAAUGCCAGCUUUGGAGCCCAGUGCUUUGCUUGGAGGUCCUUUUUAAAGGACAAAAAAUGGGUAAGUGCGGGGCCCAUUAGGAAAGAAAAAGGUAACAACAGAAAGAUAAGUUACAUGAAAGGUUUAGUGGAGUAUGGGCCAACCUGUUAUGCUAAAGACUUUCAGGUCCAAGAGAAUAUGUUUUAGGAGCCCAUAAAGCGGAUUAUGGGUGGGAAGGUUGGUGACAGAUGUAAAAUUCCAUUCAAAAGCUAACACAAAUAUUUAAGAUUGAUGUAAUGAAUAUGAUUUUUUUUUUAUUAAUACUAAAAAUAAGCAAAAGAUAUGAAAAUUAUAUAAAAUAAAUUUAUAUUGUAUGACAAUAUUCUAAAUUUAUAUAAAAUAUGCCUGUGUUAUCACAGUUAGUGUAUGGAUAACAUUCAUGUCAUCAAAACCCAAACAUUUUAUUGCAUAGAUUAAGCCAAACACAACAUAAAUAAUAAUAGGUUUAAAAAAUUUAAAAUUUAGAUUUAGAUACCGCCUAAUUAUUAAAUAGGUAACUCGCAUUAUAACUCAUUUAACCCAUAUAAAAAAUCAAGAUUUCUUAGUUAAUAAUCAAAAUUGGUUAAGUCUUAUAUAAAUUUUUAUGAUUAAUAUCAAUUAAAUAUAUUUAUGAUUCAAUUAAUCUAUUUAUUUAAAAAUAAUUUAAAAUAAAUAAAUAAAAGUUAAUUAAUUUAAGUCAAAUUUGUGCUAUACAAAUGAACUCAAAAACUAACUAUUUAUUAAAUGAUUUACACAUAUCAAUAUGAAUUUGAUCUAAACUCGAUUAUAUUUGGUCUAAACCCAUGAAAAACGUGUUGGAGUCUAAUCGUAUCAAACUUUGUCUUCCUUACAACAAAAUAUAUAAGGCCAAAAUACUUAACAAAGCUUUAUCUAAGAAUCUUAAGUAAUAAACAAAUUGCAAAACAUAUAUUAAAAAAUUUGAAUGGAGGGUUGUGAACAGAUGGGUGAAUGCAGUGUUUGAUAUCAAUCCGCAAGACCAAAGAAUCCAGUGGUUGUGAAGUUAAAAACCGAUACCUGCAGCAUUGGAGUGCAGAAAAGGUCGAAUACUAUAGUAUUUGAUUCGUGGAAUGGCAUUUUCAAGAUUUCUGGAGCACAAUACUAUCAACACUUCAGACCUUUAUGAAUUUUAAAAUGUGAACAUCCACAUAUAUAUACACACCAAUAUUGCAUAAAUAAACCUUUAUGAAAUUUAAAAUGUGAACAUCCACACAUAUAUAUAUACACACCAAUAUUGUAUAAAUAAACACUUGGAACUAUUAUCUAACUGUUACAUACACAAAAAUUAGAAGAAUACACCUUCUUCCCCAAAAUUUCCUUUUACAACUGAAGUCUGGAGAUUGGGGCAAGACUGUGCUUUUAAGUUUGUCCUUCCUCCCAUCUUAGAUAAUACUCAAUAUGCCUUCUUCCAUUUUGUAACUUCACGAGCUCACAAUCCUAUCCUUUCUUCCUCAUUCCGUUUUAUAGUAGGAAAUGACAAUAUUUUGCAUUCUUAACAAACAUUUUGAUAGAAUUUUAGCAAAAACAUCUUUUUAUGUCAAACAAUCUAUUCUAAUCUUCUCAUGAGUUUUCAUUUAUCCGUUCCAUAUAUCUUUAUAAAUGACAAUCCUUUGCAUUCUUCAACAAAAUCAAAUUUGAAAAUUUCGUUACCUAAUGCUAAAAAGUAGCAAAAACAUCAUCUUCUACUUUAAUCUUAUUCAAAUAUUCUUAUGAGCUUCCAUUUGAUUAUUUAAUAUAUUUUUAUAAAUGACAAUCUUUUGCAUUCCUCAACAAAGAUCUUGAAAAUUUUUGAAAAUUUCGUUACCUUAUGUUGAAAAAUAGCAAAAAUAUCUUCUGAUGUCAAACACUCCACUCUAAUCUUCUUCAAAUUUUGUUGUGAGCUUCCAUUUGACUGCUUUAGAGGACAUCCCUAUAAAUGUUUUGAAUGUUUCCAACUCCUCCCAUCCCAUCAAACGAAUAAUUCCCGGGAUCCUUUUCAACCUAAGCCCACAACUCCUGAUCUUUUGCUGAUUUUCUCCGAUCUUGUUAAGACAGCCUUUUGUGAGACAUCUCUUGUGUAUUUCUUGACUACCCUUUUGCAGAAAUGCCUUCACAACCUUCAUCUUCCCAUCUUCACUAAGGUUGUUGACUUCCUCCAUUGCAUGCCUCAUUCCAUCUCAAAGAGGUGAAAGAAAUGAGAUCCACUCAAAGAGAAGGGAAAGAGUGAAGGAUUGCGGGAGAAGAGGGGUUGUGGCUUGGGAUACAAAUAAACAGUGAGCAGCAACUGGCGAAAGGUCUUGGAGACUGGGAAAGAUGGAUGUGAAACCCGUG